This 76-nucleotide transfer RNA is filed under the name Escherichia coli. Its description in RNAcentral is "tRNA-Val". It matches the Rfam family "tRNA". From Rfam's summary of the family: Transfer RNA (tRNA) molecules are approximately 80 nucleotides in length. Their secondary structure includes four short double-helical elements and three loops (D, anti-codon, and T loops). The record is from RNAcentral. Lineage: Bacteria; Pseudomonadati; Pseudomonadota; Gammaproteobacteria; Enterobacterales; Enterobacteriaceae. RNAcentral also lists the same sequence under 3 other names.
GGGUGAUUAGCUCAGCUGGGAGAGCACCUCCCUUACAAGGAGGGGGUCGGCGGUUCGAUCCCGUCAUCACCCACAA